Molecule: long non-coding RNA, 415 nt
Organism: Canis lupus familiaris (dog)
Lineage: Eukaryota; Metazoa; Chordata; Mammalia; Carnivora; Canidae
Exons: 3
Source: RefSeq, a predicted model, not a curated record
AGACAUCAGUUUCAUCUUCCUGAAAGGAAGGAGGGAGAAAAACAAGAGGACCAUGGUCACAGCCGUCCUUGAAAGCAACAAGAUUUCUGGCCUUUUCAUUCAUUCUUCACCACUUAUCUCCUGAGUGCCUACUACAUGCCUGGCACUGUUCUAGGCAUGAGGCAUCCAGCCAAGAAUAUACCAAAGGAGCCCCACCCUAGUUAUGCUAACUGCUUAAUUUAUUUGGUCUGCUCGACGGCUCAGCCUAUGCCCACCACUGCUACAUCUGCUGAGAAUAGCUGAGGCACACUUAGCCACACAAGGCUAAACCUUGCUGCUGCUGAGAGCUCAGGAUUCAACCCUACAGCAAGCUUGCAAACUCCACACAUGCGUAGUGGAUGUCUACAUAGCAAGUCCACUCUGGCCAGAGUUCAAA